UAUUCCUUCCUACUGUGCAGCUUUUUAAGUUCAACUACUUUAUUUUACAGAUGAGGGAGACCAAAGCCCAGAGAAAUGAAGAUGUCAGGGACAAUCUGCUGGGUCUAUGACUCUCAGUCUGUGCCUUCUCUGAGACUGCAGAGGGUAGGUACACAGUGAGAAGUGGGUGAAAGAGCCCUGGCUUUCAAGUCAUAUUUGGCCAGGUUUGAAGUCUGACCUUGUCCUGUACCAGCUGUGUGACCUCGGGUGAGCUGUUGAGCCUCUCUGAGCUGCAAAAGAAAACCACAUGGCUCUCCUCCAAGAUUGUUGUGAAGACUGAUGUCUAAAAAAUGCCAGCUACAAAAAGGGAUCCACCAGACGCUGCUCCCCGCUGCUGACCUGGCCCAGAGACACUUGUGGGACGGCUGAUUGAUGACCACAUCAAACGUCAAGUACCGGGAGUGAGAGAGUUGGUCUAAUCAUGUGCCACUAUUGAGACCUUGAAACCUAGGCUGGUCUGAACUGAGAUCUAUACCACGUGUGAAUACAUACACUCAAUUACUAAGAUUUGGUUCAAAAAGAAGAAUAUAAAAUGCCUCAUCGAUAAUCUCUAAUAGUGACUAUGUGUUGAAAUCAUUUGGAUAUAUUGUGUUAAAUAAAAUGAUGAUCAGAGAUCUGGGGUUGUGGCUCAGUGGUAGAGCAUUCACCUAGCAUGCAGAAGGCACUAGGUUCAAUCCUCGGCACCAUAUUGCCGCAGUCUGGCUGGGCACAAAUCACGAGCCACUGAAGCAGGAACAAACUUUAUUUCUGAACUCCACCAGCACACUCCACACACGCUCCCCCGGGAACUCUCCUGAAUG
RNAcentral lists this long non-coding RNA (839 nucleotides) under Ictidomys tridecemlineatus (thirteen-lined ground squirrel). RNAcentral describes it as "lncRNA (ENSSTOG00000034179.1)". The record is from RNAcentral. Lineage: Eukaryota; Metazoa; Chordata; Mammalia; Rodentia; Sciuridae.